GCCUUUUUUCCUGCCAUCGUGAUCCUCUUACCCAUAACCUAAGUACUAUAUUUUUUUCCGUUAUCCCCUUUGAGAGUUUGGGGCCCGUCUCUGGGAGACAUUACCGAGAGUAAUACUUUUUAAAAUACUGGGUAAAUUGAGGAAGGAGAAGCCCACAGAGAUGCAGAAGAUGAUGAAGUUUGCAUCAUACAUUUGUACCAGCCCUAAGCAAGAUUUAGGACUCCUUUUCUAGCUGAUGAAGUCCAUUGUUGCAAGAGACCCUACAACAGCUUCUAAGACAAGCUUACUUCACUGUUUCUUUGCUGCCUUCGCUUGACCCAGUCAGGCUAGUGGUAGUAACGACGGUGGGUAUUUACCACCCACUUGCUGGAUACACUACGCACUUAGGGAUCUCGUAUGAUCUCAUUUAAGCUUAACAACAAAUUUAAGAUUGUAGGUACUAUUAUCACUGUUCUGUGCUGCCACGAGAAAUAGGCCCUAAAGCGUCAUUAAGGUCAACAAAAGUAUUUUGGGGAAAAGAGGACAAAACACUCCCUGGCGCCCCUGUAAGGAAAGAGCUCAACGCGGGCCGCAGCCGCAAGGAUUUCUGUACCGCGGUCUGCAGGGUGGGGGCGCGGCGGGCUUCCCCGAGGCCCCGCCCCCGCCCCCGCCCCCACAAGCCCUUGCAGCCGCGGCGGCCCCACAGGACAGAAGGACUGGAGCGGGCCGCAGAGAUUUAUGGGAGGUGGUCUGCUGGGUGGGGUCGCCGAGGCCCCGCCUCCUUCCCCUGGGAGCCGCAGAGGCCCCGCCCCGCCGAGGCCCCCCCCCGCCGAGGCCCCGCCCCCGGCCCCCACAAGCCCUUGCAGCCGCCGCAGUGACUGCGCAGAAUGGCUGGAGCGGGCGGCUGCGACGGCGAAGUCCCGGCGCCGGGGAUGGAGAUCAUAGAAAUGAGUGAUGAGUUAAGAAGAAGGAAGCAAGAAAUUGUGAAUGGAUUGAACAUAUUUUUGGAAGAAAAUGAGGCUUAAUAUAAAAAUUAAGAAGUUUGGUAUAAUUACAAAUGAAGAAUUCAGAAAAUCACCGGGAAAUUCUUGGCAAAGAGGUCAAUACCGACAUGGAAAAGAAGAGAAAGAGACUGGAACGCUUUGGACUCCUUUGAUACUCUACAUUAACAUUUCCUCUCCAAGUGUUAUAUAUCAAAGUGAAGAUAAUGGCCAAAUUAAAAUAUUUCAGUGUUCUUUCUUAUCACCAAUACAUCAAUAUUUUCAUUGACAUUGAAUAUGUAAUUGUCUCAUAAUGUCACUGUUAUAUCUUAUAAUAUUUUAAAAGUAUUUAUCCAAGUGUAUUAAAUUACUAGAGAUACUUUUUAAAAAAGAUUCAGUUUAUUUAUUCAUGAGAGAUAGAGACAGAGACACAGGCAGAGGCAGAAGCAGGCUCCCUGCAGGGACAUCACGAUGCAGGACUCGAUCCUGGGACUCUGGGGUCAUGCCCUGAGCCAAAGGGAAAUGUUCAACCACUGAGCCACCCAGGCCCCCCUACUCUAGAUAUUUUAAGUUGAUUGUAGUAUAUUAUGUUUUAAGAACAAACAAAAAAGCCAAAACUGUAUAGUUACAUUUACAUGGAAUUCACAAAUUAUGGUUACUUUGACUUCCUUUAGGUGAGUUAUUAUUGAAUAUUUAUCAUAAAAAUAUUGAAUUUCCUUAUGGUGACCUUGGAUUAAAUACAACUACAGAUUAGCUGAAUACUGGUCAAAAUAAAUUAUAAGCUCAAGCUUCAUUAUCAUUUGUAGUUUGAACAUAACAAAUCUGAUACAGUGUUACUUCAUAAUUCUGAUGCUCUUUGCAGUAAAUUUGAUAUAGAACAGUUGCUAAAGAAACCGUGUUCAAAUGUGUGACCAUUUUUAUGGAAAACAUCUGGGGUAAUUAUAAUUAGUUCAGGAUGUGUACUGUUUAAAAAUAAUCUUGAAUUCAUGGAGAAAGAAGUGUAUCUUCAAUGAGUAGAAUAAUCCAAGUUAGUAUAAAAAAUUCUUUAAGUUAUUGGUAGCUGUGCUUAGAGUAUAAUUUUAGAGUAUUCCAAAAGGAAAUGAGUAACUUUUAUGUAAAAUGCCAAUUUGGCACUUUACACCUGUUAGUGUGUUUCGUUUAGAACAGCUGUGUCUUUUAUUAUCAGUAAACAGAUGCAGAAAGUAAUGGAAUGUUUUAAAGCAAUAUGUUAAUCCUGUCUUCCACUACUGAACUGUCUCACAAUAUAGUGAUUAAAUAUUGACUGUGCAGCUGUUGCUUACAAUUAUAGAAUUUCUUAGUUAAUUUCUCCUUCCCAGGCCCAAAUGAGAUCUAAUUUCUAAUCUUAAAGUGUUCAUUAUGUAGUUUAUUAUAAUUUGAUUUCUAAGGAUAAUAUAUUUGAUUCUUGAGAUAGAUUCAUAUGUUUAUAAAACGAUUGUUUCUGAAUUGACUAAUAUUCUAAGUGGCAUAAAUAAUUUUUAAAAGUAUUUUAAAAAGUAAAUUUGUUCCUGAAUAUGAAGAUGACUAUUUAAAUGUAACAAUUUCAUGCUUGAAAACUGCCAUCAAUGAAAUAAAAAGGGAAUUAUGGUUGUUUUAUCAAAUAUUUAUGGAGAUUUGAUAAGCUCCUGCAAAUUAUUUCAGUCUCGUGGCCCUUUUGCAGUUUAAUUAUGUUUUAAUCCUUACAUCUCACCUUGUCAGAAAAGAUAUUUUAGAUGCCACAUCAAUAAUUAUCACUUUUAUACUUAAGCAGUUGUAUUAGGUAAAAUUAUUAUUAGCUGACAUUUAUUGUGCUAUAUCUGAAAGGAUUUAUGCAAAGAACUCUACAUGUAUUAUAAUAUUCUUACCCCUUUUUGUAGAUGAGGAAGUUCAACCUUAGAAAUAUGAUGUAAAUGGACCAAGGCCUUACUCCUGGGAAGUGUUGAAGACUGUUUAAACCCAGGCAUUUUCACCCUCAAGUCUCUUGUUCCUUUUAUUUAUUUAUUUUUUUAUCUAUUUAUUUGAGGGGUGGCGCAUGAGCAGGGGGAGGGGCAGAGGAAAAGGGAGAAGACUCAGGGGCUCGAUCCCAAGACCCUGAGGUCAUGGCCUGAGCCCAAGGCAGACACUUAACUGACAGCCCCAAGCUCCUUGUUCUUAACAACUUUUCAUUUUGCCUGCCUUUAGCAUCUAAUACUGACAUGAUAUAGAAGGGAGAUUACAGAAAAUGAACUUUGUGUCCUUUUUUUGAAGCCACUAUGUGCAUUCCAAGUGACAGUUCUCUCAUUUAGUCCUUUUGCCUAAAUAAAAAACAACUAAAACAUGCACGGAAAGAUGAAGAGCUCCAGUUCUUGUUAUUUCACCACACGAUAACUGUGUCAGUGCUCUGCAACAUCAUCAGAGGUAUCACAAGUAUUGUCAUAGUCUACACUAUAGAAGAUUUUGAAAUCCCUCCUUAUUUUACUCUAAUUGUGCUGCUUUAUGGAGACAACUCCAAUAAUCUGUUCCCCUUCCCAAAAAGGAAAGUUUCUUUGGUUCAAGAGAUUUUUAAAGAGCAACAUGAUAUAAUUUAUACCUGUUAUAUUAUUUAUACCUUAACCUACAAGUAUCAGUUAUUAUUGAAAUUUAUUAAAUAUUCACUGCCAGAUAUCAUUACUACUUCUAUAGUUGUAGUUUAUUUUGUCAUUUGCUGUAGGAAGUAUGCCAUUUUAUAUACGAAGAAACUGAGAGUCUCCGAGAUAUUAAAUAAAUUGGUCAAGAUCACAGCUAGCAAAUGAUAUUUGUAUGCAUUUGACUUAAAAAAAACUGAAAAUUUAAAAAUGCCCAGCUAAUUAUUUUUGUAGGGAGCUUUAAGAUAACAGAUGGCUACUUCAAUGUAGUUUCCCUUGACACUGAUGAGAAUGCUUAUAGGAUUAACUGGGAUCAGUAAUGUCAUGAGGUAUUGCUAGAAGAAACUUAAUAUAGCAGAAGUCCAUUAUAAGGCGAUGUUUUAGGGGCAAAAUGUUCUUGCAUGAAAGUUGUCUGAAAUAUCAGAAGAAAAACAUAGAAGAGUAUAAAAUGUCAUUUUUCAUGUUACCAGUUUUAAAUGAAUAAAGCUUUACAUAUUUUGCUAAAUUUAAUCAGCUAUGCUAUAUUCAGUGUUGCUAUUUUAUUCAAAUUAUUUUUUGUGUCUCCAUCAAAAUUAUAUCUAUUUUGAGAUAAUUGUAGAUUUACAUGCAAUUUUAAGUAAUAGUACUACUACAGACAGUGUGCCCUUUAUGCAAGUCCCCU
Molecule: long non-coding RNA, 4220 nt
Filed under: Canis lupus familiaris (dog)
Lineage: Eukaryota; Metazoa; Chordata; Mammalia; Carnivora; Canidae
Description: lncRNA (ENSCAFG00845024389.1)
Source: RNAcentral